GACGAACGCUGGCGGCGUGCUUAACACAUGCAAGUCGAACGGUGAAGCGCCUUCCUUUUUGGUGGGUGUGGAUGAGUGGCGAACGGGUGAGUAACACGUGAGUAACCUGCCCCCUUCUUCUGGAUAACCGCAUGAAAGUGUGGCUAAUACGGGAUAUUCUGGGUCUGUCGCAUGAUGGGUCUGGGAAAGAUAUUGUUUCGGUGGGGGAUGGGCUCGCGGCCUAUCAGCUUGUUGGUGGGGUGAUGGCCUACCAAGGCGGUGACGGGUAGCCGGCCUGAGAGGGUGGACGGUCACACUGGGACUGAGACACGUCCCAGACUCCUACGGGAGGCAGCAGUGGGGAAUAUUGCACAAUGGGCGCAAGCCUGAUGCAGCGACGCCGCGUGAGGGAUGGAGGCCUUCGGGUUGUGAACCUCUUUCGCCAGUGAAGCAGGCCUGCCUCGUUUGUGGGUGGGUUGACGGUAGCUGGAUAAGAAGCGCCGGCUAACUACGUG
RNAcentral lists this ribosomal RNA (494 nucleotides) under uncultured bacterium. RNAcentral's name for it is "partial 16S ribosomal RNA". It matches the Rfam family "Bacterial small subunit ribosomal RNA", at positions 28 to 507 of the family's 1533-position model. The record is from RNAcentral.